AGUUAUUUAGCUUAUUAAAAGCAUUUAUUUUGAAAAUAAAAGAAAGGGUUCACUUAAUAACUU
Molecule: transfer RNA, 63 nt
Filed under: Empoascanara defecta
Lineage: Eukaryota; Metazoa; Arthropoda; Insecta; Hemiptera; Cicadellidae
Description: tRNA-Ser
Rfam family: tRNA
About the family: Transfer RNA (tRNA) molecules are approximately 80 nucleotides in length. Their secondary structure includes four short double-helical elements and three loops (D, anti-codon, and T loops). Further hydrogen bonds mediate the characteristic L-shaped molecular structure. tRNAs have two regions of fundamental functional importance: the anti-codon, which is responsible for specific mRNA codon recognition, and the 3' end, to which the tRNAs corresponding amino acid is attached (by aminoacyl-tRNA synthetases). tRNAs cope with the degeneracy of the genetic code in two manners: having more than one tRNA (with a specific anti-codon) for a particular amino acid; and 'wobble' base-pairing, i.e. permitting non-standard base-pairing at the 3rd anti-codon position.
Source: RNAcentral